Molecule: non-coding RNA, 73 nt
Organism: Momordica charantia (bitter melon)
Lineage: Eukaryota; Viridiplantae; Streptophyta; Magnoliopsida; Cucurbitales; Cucurbitaceae
Source: the annotation of a RefSeq genome assembly
GGGUGUAUAGCUCAGUUGGUAGAGCAUUGGGCUUUUAACCUAAUGGUCGCAGGUUCAAGUCCUGCUGGAUUCU